UACGAAGGGGGCUAGCGUUGUUCGGAAUCACUGGGCGUAAAGCGCACGUAGGCGGAUGUGCCAGUCAGGGGUGAAAUCCCGGAGCUCAACUCCGGAACUGCCUCUGAUACAGCACGUCUUGAGUUCGAGAGAGGUGGGUGGAAUUCCUAGUGUAGAGGUGAAAUUCGUAGAUAUUAGGAAGAACACCGGUGGCGAAGGCGGCCCACUGGCUCGAUACUGACGCUGAGGCGCGACAGCGUGGGGAGCAAACAGG
This 253-nucleotide ribosomal RNA is filed under the name uncultured bacterium. RNAcentral's name for it is "partial 16S ribosomal RNA". It matches the Rfam family "Bacterial small subunit ribosomal RNA", at positions 524 to 776 of the family's 1533-position model. The record is from RNAcentral.